UACGUAGGGUGCGAGCGUUGUCCGGAUUUAUUGGGCGUAAAGAGCUCGUAGGCGGUGUGUCGCGUCGGCCGUGAAAACCUGCAGCUUAACUGUGGGCGUGCGGUCGAUACGGGCAUCACUGGAGUUCGGCAGGGGAGACUGGAAUUCCUGGUGUAGCGGUGAAAUGCGUAGAUAUCUGGAGGAAUACCGGUGGCGAAGGCGGCAUCCUGGACCGACAUUGACGCUGAGGAGCGAAAGCUAGGGGAGCAAACGGGG
RNAcentral lists this ribosomal RNA (255 nucleotides) under uncultured bacterium. RNAcentral's name for it is "partial 16S ribosomal RNA". It matches the Rfam family "Bacterial small subunit ribosomal RNA", at positions 524 to 777 of the family's 1533-position model. The record is from RNAcentral.